This 77-nucleotide transfer RNA is filed under the name Thermofilum pendens. RNAcentral's name for it is "tRNA-Ala". It matches the Rfam family "tRNA". Rfam says of the family: Transfer RNA (tRNA) molecules are approximately 80 nucleotides in length. Their secondary structure includes four short double-helical elements and three loops (D, anti-codon, and T loops). Further hydrogen bonds mediate the characteristic L-shaped molecular structure. tRNAs have two regions of fundamental functional importance: the anti-codon, which is responsible for specific mRNA codon recognition, and the 3' end, to which the tRNAs corresponding amino acid is attached (by aminoacyl-tRNA synthetases). tRNAs cope with the degeneracy of the genetic code in two manners: having more than one tRNA (with a specific anti-codon) for a particular amino acid; and 'wobble' base-pairing, i.e. permitting non-standard base-pairing at the 3rd anti-codon position. RNAcentral also lists the same sequence under 1 other name. The record is from RNAcentral. Lineage: Archaea; Thermoproteati; Thermoproteota; Thermoprotei; Thermofilales; Thermofilaceae.
GGGCCCGUAGCGCAGUCAGGAAGCGCGGCGGCCACGCCAGCCGCAGGUCCCGGGUUCGAAUCCCGGCGGGCCCGCCA